This 491-nucleotide ribosomal RNA is filed under the name uncultured bacterium. Its description in RNAcentral is "partial 16S ribosomal RNA". It matches the Rfam family "Bacterial small subunit ribosomal RNA", at positions 29 to 507 of the family's 1533-position model. The record is from RNAcentral.
AGUGAACGCUGGCGGUAGGCCUAACACAUGCAAGUCGAACGGCAGCACAGUAAGAGCUUGCUCUUACGGGUGGCGAGUGGCGGACGGGUGAGGAAUACAUCGGAAUCUACUUUUUCGUGGGGGAUAACGUAGGGAAACUUCCGCUAAUACCGCAUACGACCUACGGGUGAAAGCAGGGGAUCUUCGGACCUUUCGCGAUUGAAUGAGCCGAUGUCGGAUUAGCUAGUGGGCGGGGUAAAGGCCCACCAAGGCGACGAUACGUAGCUGGUCCGAGAGGAUGAUCAGCACACUGGAACUGAGACACGGUCCAGACUCCUACGGGAGGCAGCAGUGGGGAAUAUUGGACAAUGGGCGCAAGCCUGAUCCAGCCAUACCGCGUGAGUGAAGAAGGCCUUCGGGUUGUAAAGCCCUUUUGUUGGGAAAGAAAAGCAGCAGAUUAAUACCCCGCUGUUCUGACGGUACCCAAAGAAUAAGCACCGGCUAACUUCGUG